Molecule: transfer RNA, 86 nt
Filed under: soil metagenome
Also listed under: 1 other name
Rfam family: tRNA
About the family: Transfer RNA (tRNA) molecules are approximately 80 nucleotides in length. Their secondary structure includes four short double-helical elements and three loops (D, anti-codon, and T loops).
Source: RNAcentral
GGAGAGAUGGCCGAGUGGUUGAAGGCUGCCGUCUUGAAAACGGCCGAACGCAAGUUCCGGGGGUUCGAAUCCCUCUCUCUCCGCCA